This 238-nucleotide ribosomal RNA is filed under the name uncultured bacterium. RNAcentral describes it as "partial 16S ribosomal RNA". It matches the Rfam family "Bacterial small subunit ribosomal RNA", at positions 15 to 257 of the family's 1533-position model. The record is from RNAcentral.
GAUCCUGGCUCAGAUUGAACGCUGGCGGCAUGCCUUACACAUGCAAGUCGAACGGUAACAGGUCUUCAGACGCUGACGAGUGGCGAACGGGUGAGUAAUACAUCGGAACGUGCCCAGUCGUGGGGGAUAACUACUCGAAAGAGUAGCUAAUACCGCAUACGAUCUGAGGAUGAAAGCGGGGGACCUUCGGGCCUCGCGCGAUUGGAGCGGCCGAUGGCAGAUUAGGUAGUUGGUGGGA